CUACAAAAAAAGACUGAAGACAAAUCCUGUCUUCAGUCCAGGUAAAGGGCUCUUGGCAGAGCCGUGCGCUAAACAUGAGGUCUAUUGAGGGCAUUGUCGCCCGGUACUUUAAAGAUAGUAUCAGACGGGGAGUUAAUCCAACCG
This 144-nucleotide small RNA is filed under the name Erwinia tasmaniensis. Lineage: Bacteria; Pseudomonadati; Pseudomonadota; Gammaproteobacteria; Enterobacterales; Erwiniaceae. The record is from RNAcentral.